Molecule: unclassified non-coding RNA, 433 nt
Filed under: soil metagenome
Description: partial contains 5.8S ribosomal RNA, internal transcribed spacer 2, and large subunit ribosomal RNA
Rfam family: 5.8S ribosomal RNA (bases 1-120)
Source: RNAcentral
GAUGAAGAACGUAGCGAAAUGCGAUACGUAAUGUGAAUUGCAGAAUUCAGUGAAUCAUCGAAUCUUUGAACGCAUAUUCCGCUCUCUGGUAUUCCGGAGAGCAUGCUUGUUUGAGUAUCAGUAAACACCUCAACUUCCAUAUCUUUUUUGAAAUGGGAGUUGGACUUGAGUGAUCCCAACGCUUUUCCUCACCGAAAAGUGGCGGGUUACUUGAAAUGCAGGUGCAGCUGGACUUUUCUCUGAGCUAUAAGCAUAUCUAUUUAGUCUGCCUAAAAAACAGAUUAUUACCUUUGCUGCAGCUAACAUAAAGGAGAUUAGUUCUUGUGCUGACUGAUGCAGGAUUCACAAAGACAGGCUUCGGCCGACUUUGUAAACUCGAUCUCAAAUCAAGUAAGACUACCCGCUGAACUUAAGCAUAUCAAUAAGCGGAGGA